This 375-nucleotide ribosomal RNA is filed under the name uncultured organism. RNAcentral describes it as "partial 16S ribosomal RNA". It matches the Rfam family "Bacterial small subunit ribosomal RNA", at positions 527 to 896 of the family's 1533-position model. The record is from RNAcentral.
GUAGGAGCCAAGCGUUAUCCGAAUUUACUGGGCGUAAAGCGCGUGUAGGCGGCAUGGUAAGUUGGAUGUGAAAGCUCCUGGCUCAACUAGGAGAGGACGUUCAAAACUGCCAAGCUAGAGGGCGAGAGAGGGAGGUGGAAUUCCCGGUGUAGUGGUGAAAUGCGUAGAUAUCGGGAGGAACACCAGUGGCGAAGGCGGCCUCCUGGGUCGCACCUGACGCUCAGACGCGAAAGCUAGGGUAGCAAACGGGGGAUUAGAAACCCCGGUAGUCCUAGCCGUAAACGAUGUAGACUUGGUGUUGGUGGUGUAAGAGCCAUCGGUGCCCGCAGCAAACGCGAUAAGUCUACCGCCUGGGGGACUACGACCGCAAGGUUA